Molecule: unclassified non-coding RNA, 308 nt
Filed under: plant metagenome
Description: partial contains 5.8S ribosomal RNA, internal transcribed spacer 2, and large subunit ribosomal RNA
Rfam family: 5.8S ribosomal RNA (bases 1-106)
Source: RNAcentral
CGAAAUGCGAUAAGUAAUGUGAAUUGCAGAAUUCAGUGAAUCAUCGAAUCUUUGAACGCACAUUGCGCCCGCCAGCACUCUGGCGGGCAUGCCUGUUCGAGCGUCAUUUCAACCCUCAGAACCCCUUGCGGGAUCUGGCGUUGGGGAUUGGCAUCCAGCCAGCCCCGAAAUCUAGUGGCGGUCCCUCCGCGACCUCCCCUGUGCAGUAGCGAUACCUCGCAGCGGGACAGCGGUCUGACCACGCCGUAAAACCCCCAACUUCUCAAGGUUGACCUCGAAUCAGGUAGGAAUACCCGCUGAACAUAAGC